Scleropages formosus (Asian bonytongue) is the source of this 342-nucleotide long non-coding RNA. RefSeq lists it as uncharacterized. The transcript has 3 exons. NCBI's taxonomy places the organism in Eukaryota, Metazoa, Chordata, Actinopteri, Osteoglossiformes, Osteoglossidae. The record is from RefSeq and is a predicted model, not a curated record.
GGAGCAACGUGGUGAAAGUGGUCCAGUGUGUUUUCCAUGACACAGUUGGAUUUCUGGAGUGUGAAUUAAACCAACGAGCAGUGAGUGCAGUGAGAGCUGAGUUGCAAAACUUCAAGACAAACACUGUAGUGGCCGGACAUGUAGGAGGUCUUGAAGAUCCAUGUAUGCAGAAGUCAAAGAAAUCCAAAAACAAACUAUUUUCCAUUUCCCGUCUCAAUUCAAAACCACCUCAAGUUAAAGUCCACAUAGCGGUCAGUGGCCCCACCCUGAACUCGCACCAGACAUUCAUGAAAAAGCUGGACAUGUCUCUGGAGGAGUGCAGCCUGAAGAACUGCAGUGUGA